RNAcentral lists this ribosomal RNA (500 nucleotides) under uncultured cyanobacterium. RNAcentral's name for it is "bacterial SSU rRNA". It matches the Rfam family "Bacterial small subunit ribosomal RNA", at positions 355 to 867 of the family's 1533-position model. The record is from RNAcentral. Lineage: Bacteria; Bacillati; Cyanobacteriota.
UGGGGAAUUUUCCGCAAUGGGCGAAAGCCUGACGGAGCAAUACCGCGUGAGGGAGGAAGGCUCUUGGGUCGUAAACCUCUUUUCUCAGGGAAGAAGAAAGUGACGGUACCUGAGGAAUAAGCAUCGGCUAACUCCGUGCCAGCAGCCGCGGUAAUACGGAGGAUGCAAGCGUUAUCCGGAAUGAUUGGGCGUAAAGGGUCCGCAGGUGGUACUGUAAGUCUGCUGUUAAAGAGUCUGGCUUAACCAGAUAAAAGCAGUGGAAACUACAGAACUAGAGUGCGUUCGGGGCAGAAGGAAUUCCUGGUGUAGCGGUGAAAUGCGUAGAUAUCAGGAAGAACACCGGUGGCGAAAGCGUUCUGCUAGGCCGCAACUGACACUGAGGGACGAAAGCUAGGGGAGCGAAUGGGAUUAGAUACCCCAGUAAGUCCUAGCCGUAAACGAUGGAUACUAGGCGUGGCUUGUAUCGACCCGAGCCGUGCCGGAGCUAACGCGUUAAGUAU